GAUGAACGCUAGCGGCAGGCUUAACACAUGCAAGUCGAGGGGCAGCAAGGGUAGCAAUACCUGUUGGCGACCGGCAAACGGGUGCGGAACACGUACGCAAUUUACCCUGGUCUGGGGGAUAGCCCGGAGAAAUCCGGAUUAACACCCCAUAAGAUAUUAGAGUGGCAUCACUUAGAUAUUAAAUCUCCGGAGGACCGGGAUGAGCGUGCGUCCCAUUAGCUAGUUGGCGGGGUAAAGCCCACCAAGGCGACGAUGGGUAGCUGGUGUGAGAGCACGACCAGCCACACGGGCACUGAGACACGGGCCCGACUCCUACGGGAGGCAGCAGUGAGGAAUAUUGGUCAAUGGACGCAAGUCUGAACCAGCCAUGCCGCGUGAAGGAU
Molecule: ribosomal RNA, 383 nt
Filed under: uncultured bacterium
Lineage: Bacteria
Description: bacterial SSU rRNA
Rfam family: Bacterial small subunit ribosomal RNA
Source: RNAcentral